AUGUAUAAUAUAGCAACCAAUGUGUGCUCUAUCAAAAUUCUGAAAUUUAUAUACAGGAUACAGUUUGCAGUUGCACUUGUGCUUCUGCACUCUGCAUAACUUUGGUCAUCGAUUAACACAAAUUUAUGUUAUCUGGCAGGGGAAUCAAUUGCAGACAGAGGACCAUUAUCGGCAGACGACCACUGCUACGAAGUUCUUAACUGCAUCCACACACACACACACACACACACAUUGGCCGCUGUCCCUCUUCAACAAACUCUCACUUAAAAACUAAUUACGAACAAAGCUGUUGCUGCAAGUCGUUUUGUUCUCCUUGCGGCUAGCAGGACAGGCUGAGGCGGCAGCUAAGUGCGUAGAUUUUUACCAGAACCAGUACCAGUGUGGCUGCCAAUUGACAGAGCAAGAAGAAAGAAAGCAUCCGCCGUCCAACAGGAUUUUCUCAGGCUGCUGGACUCGCUCGGGAGUUCGUCACAUCACCACUGGGGCUUGCCUCAAUACUCGUAUAGCAUCGGGUACAGUUGCUAUAAUUAAUGGCUGUUCCCUCCAUGGUAUCCGAAGUGGCGCCUGCAUUCUGGUCGUUUCCAUGGAAAUGUGUGCACUGGGUCGCAGUAAAAAAGCAUUCACAGGUUAUUUGCUCGGACGACGCGAAUGACCGGGCUCUUCAGCAUAAUAUGCUUGCAGGACGUCUCCGGUCGGAGACUGGAGAUUCACGCUAAACUGUUCCGGCUCCUGUCGUCUUCUGAGUUGGUGCGGUCUUUCUUGCAUCAUGGCUGUUUCUUCGGAAUUGAGAAGGCUGAGGGAGCACUAAGUGCGUAGAUUUUUGCCAGAACCAGUACCAGUGUGGCUGCCAAGAUAGUCCCCUCCUCCCGUGAUUACUAGAAAAUUAAAACUGCAUUAAAACUUCUGCAGUUGACAGAGCAAGAGGAAAGAAAGCAAA
Drosophila pseudoobscura is the source of this 937-nucleotide long non-coding RNA. RefSeq lists it as uncharacterized. The transcript has 2 exons. The record is from RefSeq and is a predicted model, not a curated record. NCBI's taxonomy places the organism in Eukaryota, Metazoa, Arthropoda, Insecta, Diptera, Drosophilidae.